UAGAUUAGAUUAAGAUCUUACGUUUCAAGCCUAUGAAUUUGUUCAUUAGUGUGGCGAUGGUAACCCUUCUUCUCGUGACGGUUGUUGGUGUUGGCGUCUACAUCAUUUUCCCGUUCAUCACUUGAGUUGUCAUCGCGAGUAAAAUCCAUAUUUUCUAAAUCCAAAUGAAAGAUGAUAUACAGAAGAUAUGAACAAUCUAAUCGCUAUAUAUUUAUAUAAAAAAUAAUAGAAAAC
Molecule: small RNA, 234 nt
Filed under: Arabidopsis thaliana (thale cress)
Lineage: Eukaryota; Viridiplantae; Streptophyta; Magnoliopsida; Brassicales; Brassicaceae
Description: ATSL250690
Source: RNAcentral